CUUUUACUAUGUGAGAGAGGGACAGAGGAUGGGAAUACUGGAGAGGUAAGGAGCAGAAUCAUUAUACUGAAUGAAAGCUUUAGCGCAGUCCCACGUAGAAAACAGACAAAAGCAACAUGGCUCUGAUCCCACUGGAGAUGGAAACCCCCGUUUGCUUUCUCCCUUGGUCCCUGUGACCAACCCUGAGGCACCACUGAGGAUGCCCUGUUUGAAAACCACUGGAUGGGAGGCAGAUGUCAUUGGGAUUAAAAGUGCUGGUUGGUUCCAUGGCUG
RNAcentral lists this long non-coding RNA (273 nucleotides) under Homo sapiens (human). RNAcentral's name for it is "HSALNT0389366". Lineage: Eukaryota; Metazoa; Chordata; Mammalia; Primates; Hominidae. The record is from RNAcentral.